CCUCACCGCGCCUCCCCCCCGUCGGCGGCCCCGCGGAGCGGCGGUGGUACAGUCCGAGACGGCCCCCGGCUAUAAAUAGCGCCAGGCGCAUGGCUCUUCGGGAGGCGCUGAGAUUCCGGGCCGGGCGGCCGUGGGCAGCGGGUGCCCGUUAGGAACCGGGCCGUCGGCCUCCUCUCGUUGCCCUUUGGGGGUUCUUUUUGUAAUAGCAGCAGGACAGCUUUUCCCAUCUUCAGAAGUCGGGCCAAUUAAAAUCACGCGCUGCUUGCCCUCGGGGCUGGAGCUGGGACGGCGGGCCGAGCUGCUGGCCUAACCCCGGAGGGUCCCAGGCUGGCCAUCCGGUGCUCAGGGUUUCUCUGCUCUUACCCUCGAGUUACAUCACGUUCCUACACGAUAUGUUUUAGCAUUUGUUUAAAGAAACGAGACCCCAGCAGCCUGUAAACCCAGGCCAAGCCGGCGUGGUACAACCACAACGCGGUACUCUCCAGCGCCAGAGGAGGCCCGAGGGAGGCCCCGAGGUUCCCAGCCCCGAGGUUCAAGGUUCACCUCAGACCCCCAGCUUCCCUCGAAGGAUGAUGGGAGCCCAAAUCAAAGCGCAAGGCUGGAGAUGGAUCUGCAGGUGAUACUUGGAGGUGAUGAAGCCAGAAAACUCUUUGACACUGAAGACUUUUCUCAAAAGUAAAAAUGAAAUAAAAGAAAACGAAGACAUUGAAUAUAAAUUUAAAUCUUGCAAUCACUGCUGGGAAGUGAGCUGUAUCAUCUUGAGAAAUCAGACCACAGAGACGGGCCUGCAGCUGGCAGGCUGGGUCAUCUUUAAUCGCUUAACCCUUCAUAUCAAAGGAUGGCUUGUAGCAGCAGAUUCCUUCUCCAGAAUUUGCCAUGGCAGAUUUUCUCAAGGAAAAGCUUGGUUAUCAAGUCAGUGGUGCAGCAUCUUCCGACAGGCUGUUCUCCCGAGAAGGGCUCCCGUGUUCCUCAGGACCACUCCACUCCGCAGUGGUAAGAAGACAUGCAAAUGGGCCCUGGAGUCCUCCAGGAGGAAGAAGAUGGCACAGAUGAAAAGG
RNAcentral lists this long non-coding RNA (1058 nucleotides) under Chinchilla lanigera (long-tailed chinchilla). RNAcentral describes it as "lncRNA (ENSCLAG00000028169.1)". Lineage: Eukaryota; Metazoa; Chordata; Mammalia; Rodentia; Chinchillidae. The record is from RNAcentral.